UUUUUGUUAUCUAUAAAUUUCAUGCCUAACAUUCAACAAGGCCAUAAAUCAAAAUUAAUUUUCACAUAACAACCCAAACUUGUUACAAUCACGACAAUGUUCAGAUACCAAAAAUACAUAUUUACAUAGAUAGCUCAACAAGUAUUUACAACCAUUAUUACUACAUCAGUUUGCAUUUCUUGGAACUGAUCUAAAAAAGGAGCCUCUAAACAAAAUUACUACAUAACUUUGACUUUCUUGAAACCGAUCUCAAAAAGUAGCCUCUGAUUUCUCUAUGUAUUUCUCUGUGUAUUCGUUUUGAAAAAGCAGCCUCUAAUUUCUUGGAACCUGCACUAAACAAAGGCAUAAAAAACAAGUUAACAAGCAUGUGGACAAAUCUGGAUAAGUGAAAAGAAUUAUCAGCUUGGCAAAUAUGGAUGAUAGGCACAAGUGUAGAUACAAACUAUGGGUGAACUAUUUUAAGAUGACUAAGCUUCAGGCACUACAGAUAUCUAAACCUAGACCAGUUUCUUAUAUGUAAAAGAGAGUAAAGUGCGGAAAAAGUUUUCUUUUUACAACUUGUCCAGAUGUAGUCCUUUAUUGUAGAUUCAGGAAAGAAAAAAUCAUUGGGAUAGUAGAUCUAGUAAUAACUUCCUGGCAAAAAAAUUACAAGCAUAAACUGCUACACUUUCUUUUAUUUAAGUUGGCAAUAAAAGAUCAAAAGUACAUGAGGAAAAACCAAUGCAACAAUUGAAGUUUCGAAUACUAAACACUAAAUAGCACUCUGCUCAUAAAAUGCUUCUGAAUAGUCUGAAGUGGAACCACAUGGACAAGCAAUAGAUAAACUUUACAUAUUUUGGAUCUGUAAUAGAUAUCAAGAAACUUACACAAGACCGGUGCCUGAAAUAUCAUUCCAGAUGAAUACAAGAGCUAUUCGAAGCUGGUUCCUGGAGUUCCUUCCGGACAACAACAUUAGCC
This 957-nucleotide long non-coding RNA is filed under the name Triticum aestivum (bread wheat). RNAcentral describes it as "long non-coding RNA (TAES_LNC021626)". Lineage: Eukaryota; Viridiplantae; Streptophyta; Magnoliopsida; Poales; Poaceae. The record is from RNAcentral.